UACGUAGGGUGCAAGCGUUAAUCGGAAUUACUGGGCGUAAAGCGUGCGCAGGCGGUGAUGUAAGACAGAUGUGAAAUCCCCGGGCUCAACCUAGGAACUGCAUUUGUGACUGCAUCGCUGGAGUGCGGCAGAGGGGGAUGGAAUUCCGCGUGUAGCAGUGAAAUGCGUAGAUAUGCGGAGGAACACCGAUGGCGAAGGCAAUCCCCUGGGCCUGCACUGACGCUCAUGCACGAAAGCGUGGGGAGCAAACGGG
RNAcentral lists this ribosomal RNA (253 nucleotides) under uncultured bacterium. RNAcentral describes it as "partial 16S ribosomal RNA". It matches the Rfam family "Bacterial small subunit ribosomal RNA", at positions 524 to 776 of the family's 1533-position model. The record is from RNAcentral.